AGUCCCUCACACAAAAUCUCUCUCUCCCUCUCUCUCACCUUAUUUCUCUCACUACAUAAAUUUUGGCAGCCAUGGCGGUGUCUAGCUCUUCGUUUGUAUCAAAUCAAUCUUUCUCCCCAUUCUUGAAAGCACCAAGAUCAAACCUCUGUGGCAGGAAACAGUUCUGUUUACGAGCAUCUGCCGGCCACCCAGAUGAAGAAGGGAAAAUGAUGAUAAGGAAAGAAAAAGAUGGCUGGAAAAUUGAUUUCUCAGGGGAGAAACCACCCACACCAUUGCUAGAUACAAUCAAUUACCCUGUUCACACGAAGAACCUAUCCACACAGGAUCUUGAACAACUAGCAGCAGAGCUUAGAGCAGAUAUUGUAUACAGUGUAUCGAAGACAGGAGGGCAUCUGAGUUCAAGCUUAGGAGUUGUCGAGCUAGCAGUGGCUCUGCAUCAUGUGUUCAGCACACCUGAUGAUAAAAUCAUAUGGGAUGUUGGUCAUCAGGCAUACCCACAUAAAAUUUUAACAGGAAGAAGGUCUAGGAUGCACACCAUAAGGAAAACUUCAGGGCUUGCAGGAUUUCCUAAAAGAGAUGAGAGUGUUUAUGAUGCCUUUGGCGCCGGACAUAGUUCCACAAGCAUCUCUGCUGGUCUUGGAAUGGCAGUUGCAAGGGACCUACUAGGGAAGAACAACAAUGUCAUUUCUGUAAUUGGAGAUGGAGCCAUGACAGCUGGACAAGCAUAUGAGGCCAUGAACAAUGCAGGAUUCCUUGAUGCUAAUCUAAUUGUUAUAUUAAAUGACAAUAAGCAAGUAUCUUUACCCACAGCUACUCUUGAUGGCCCUGCAACUCCUGUAGGAGCUCUCAGUAGUGCUUUGGCCAAGAUCCAAGCAAGCACCCAGUUCCGCAAACUUCGUGAAGCUGCAAAAAGCAUCACAAAGCAAAUUGGUGGUAAAACGCAUCAAGUUGCAGCAAAGGUAGAUGAAUAUGCAAGAGGAAUGAUUAGUGCUUCUGGGUCUACUCUCUUUGAGGAGUUGGGGUUAUAUUAUAUCGGUCCAGUGGAUGGGCACAACAUUGAAGAUCUAGUGACCAUAUUUCAAAAAGUAAAAGCAAUGCCUGCCCCAGGACCAGUUCUGAUUCACAUUGUGACAGAGAAAGGGAAGGGCUAUCCCCCAGCUGAGGCAGCAGCUGAUAAAAUGCAUGGUGUUGUCAAGUUUGAUGUUCAAACUGGGAAGCAAUUCAAGCCAAAAUCCCCUACACUUUCAUAUACACAGUACUUUGCUGAAGCUCUGAUCAAAGAAGCUGAGACAGACAAUAAGAUUGUAGCCAUUCAUGCUGCAAUGGGUGGUGGGACUGGUCUCAAUUAUUUCCAGAAGAGGUUUCCAGAUCGCUGCUUCGAUGUGGGCAUCGCUGAGCAACAUGCUGUUACAUUUGCAGCUGGUUUAGCCACUGAAGGACUCAAGCCCUUCUGUGCAAUUUACUCAUCAUUCCUGCAACGAGGAUACGAUCAGGUGGUACAUGAUGUCGAUCUUCAAAAGUUACCAGUCAGAUUUGCCAUGGAUCGAGCUGGUUUGGUUGGUGCAGAUGGACCCACCCAUUGUGGAGCAUUUGAUAUUGCAUACAUGGCUUGCUUGCCCAACAUGGUAGUCAUGGCUCCAUCUGAUGAAGCUGAGCUGAUGCACAUGGUUGCCACUGCAGCAGCCAUAGAUGACAGACCCAGCUGCUUCAGGUUCCCAAGGGGCAACGGAAUUGGAGCAGCUCUUCCUCCUAAUAAUAAAGGAACCCCACUUGAGAUUGGGAAAGGGAGAAUACUGAUGGAAGGCAACAGAGUUGCCAUUUUGGGAUAUGGUUCUAUAGUUCAACAAUGUGUAGAAGCAGCAAGUAUGCUCAGAACCCAAGGCAUUUCUGUGACAGUAGCUGAUGCGAGAUUUUGCAAACCUUUAGAUACAGAUCUUAUCAGGCAAUUGGCCAAGGAGCAUGAGUUCCUCAUUACAGUGGAAGAGGGUUCUAUUGGAGGUUUUUCUUCCCAUGUAUCUCACUUCCUGAGUUUAAGUGGCAUUCUGGAUGGACCCCUAAAGUUGAGAGCAAUGGUUCUCCCUGACAGAUACAUUGACCAUGGAUCGCCUCAAGACCAAAUUCAAGAAGCAGGCAUCUCAUCAAACCAUAUCACUGCCACAGUUUUAUCUCUCUUGGGGAAGCCAAAAGAAGCUCUUCAAUUCAAGUGAAGCAAGAAAAGAAUCAGAAUAUUGUCUCAGGAAUAGCAAAAGCCAUACAUAUCACUGCAAGUGUGAGACUAUUGUAAAAAUGCAAAUUAGUUCAUAUUUAGAUAUUAAUGUACAAAGAUAUGGGACUCCAAUCCCAUGACUAAAAAAUAUCUCAACAAGAAAGUUCAAAAUGAUUGAAUUGAGUUUGAAUCACCAAUAGCGCCUCUGUACUUAUACUAGUUCUAAUAUGAUAAACAUCUGACAGAACUUGAA
This 2459-nucleotide unclassified non-coding RNA is filed under the name Hevea brasiliensis (rubber tree). The record is from RNAcentral. Lineage: Eukaryota; Viridiplantae; Streptophyta; Magnoliopsida; Malpighiales; Euphorbiaceae.